Long non-coding RNA from Nyctereutes procyonoides (raccoon dog), 1368 nucleotides. RefSeq lists it as uncharacterized. The record is from RefSeq and is a predicted model, not a curated record. Lineage: Eukaryota; Metazoa; Chordata; Mammalia; Carnivora; Canidae. The transcript has 4 exons.
GGGACUGUUUAGAGGAUUUCUAAACGUUUGGACAAGUUAAAAAUUAUAGUCAAAAGUACAACUCCGAUGCACAAGGGAAGGAAAGCAGAGAUUUAAUAAUCCAAAUGUGGAAUGUCUACAGUGAAUGCUAAGAUCAAGUAUGAUGAUACAAAAAGCAAACUACUUUUUCUUUUCCUAUUUUCCAGUAUCUGUUACUGCCAAAGAGAUAUACACAUAAUCCCCUUCAAAUCUGCUUUUUGACUGAGAUGCAGUCAGAAGUUUGUGAACCACUGGUUUUAGUGGCAAAGGAAGAUUAUUCAACCUUAAGAAACAGGUGUUAAAAAAAUCACUACUAUUCAACAAAAAGGAAACAUUUGUGAAGCCAAGGAGAAAGGAUAUUAUGUCAGGUGCAUCCUGGCUGCUGUGCUGAAAAGAGACUGAAGUGGGUACCACCGUAGGAAGAAGCAGGAGAGGGAGAGGCCUGGGUGCCUCCGCGGUUUAGUGCCUGCCGUUAGCCCGGAGCAUAAUCCUGGAGUCCGGGAUUGAGUCCCACAUCAGGCUCCCUGCAUGGAGGCUGCUUCUCCCUCUGCCUAUGUCUCUGCCUCUCUCUGUGUGUCUCUCAUGAAUAAAUAAAUAAAAUCUUAAAAGAAAAAAGAAAGAAAGAGGCAGGAGACAAACCACACUGCUGAAGUAAGGAUGAGGACUCAGGCCAGGUUGUAAGCGGUAUAGUGGGAGAGAAGCUGCUGGAUUCUGAAUUCGUGCUCAAGAAAGAGUCGAUGUGACUGUUAAUGGGCUGGCAAUGGCACGUGAGAGAAAGGGAGGAGGUGAGUCUGUCUCCAGGGUGUCAGACUGAGAAAUUAAAAGAAUGGAGUUGGCAUUUACUGAAUUGAAAGAUUUUUGAGAGAAUAAGACUUGAAGGUGAAAAGCUCGGCUUUAGAUGUGAAGUUGACAAGAUCCUGGUUUGACAUCCAAGUGAGGAGGUCAAGUUGGCAUUUGGAGAGGUGAUUCUGGAACUCAGAGGAAGGUCUGAGACUGUAAGUUAACAGUUCACUCUUGAUCUUUAUAAAUUCCAUUUUCUGACUGGUUCUUAGUACUCAUUCUUCAUCACCUAGCUAAUAAAAAACUUCCAAGUUGAUGAAAAUACCUGGGGAAGCUUUCUGACCCCAACCACCAAAACUCUCUUGACCUUUAAUUGCCUGUUCAGCAGGAUUCUAUCUCUCUGAAUCCAGGCAUAAUUUAUUAGGUUACUGGACAUUUUAAUCAAAGGCAUAUCACUGUCUUGCUUGACAAACAGAACAUGAGAAAGAAAUGGACUUCGGUAUGUCCAUUUUACUUUUAGAGAAGUUUGUCAUGUAUUAUUAGACUAAGGUUUUUGACCUUUCUCCAGCA